GUACUUGCUUCAGCAGCACACACAUUAAAAUUGGGAGAAUACAAAGAUUAGCAUAGUCCCUGUGCAAGGAGGCCAGGCAAUUCAUGAAGUGUUACAUAUUUAC
Molecule: small nuclear RNA, 103 nt
Organism: Grammomys surdaster
Lineage: Eukaryota; Metazoa; Chordata; Mammalia; Rodentia; Muridae
Source: RefSeq, a predicted model, not a curated record